This 503-nucleotide ribosomal RNA is filed under the name uncultured Lachnospiraceae bacterium. RNAcentral's name for it is "bacterial SSU rRNA". It matches the Rfam family "Bacterial small subunit ribosomal RNA", at positions 1 to 507 of the family's 1533-position model. Lineage: Bacteria; Bacillati; Bacillota; Clostridia; Lachnospirales; Lachnospiraceae. The record is from RNAcentral.
GUAGUCUCUAGAGAGUUUUCGUAGUCCUGGGCUCAGGAUGAACGCUGGCGGCGUGCUUAACACAUGCAAGUCGAACGGACUCAUAUUGAAACCUAGUGAUUUAUGAGUAGUGGCGGACGGGUGAGUAACGCGUGGAAAACCUGCCGUAUACUGGGGGAUAACACUUAGAAAUAGGUGCUAAUACCGCAUAAGCGCACAGCUUCGCAUGAAGUGGUGUGAAAAACUCUGGUGGUAUACGAUGGUUCCGCGUCUGAUUAGCUUGUUGUGGGGUAAUGGCUCACCAAGGCGACGAUCAGUAGCCGGCCUGAGAGGGUGAACGGCCACAUUGGGACUGACGACACGGCCCAAACUCCUACGGGAGGCAGCAGUGGGGAAUAUUGCACAAUGGGGGAAACCCUGAUGCAGCGACGCCGCGUGAGUGAAGAAGUAUUUCGGUAUGUAAAGCUCUAUCAGCAGGGAAGAAACUGACGGUACCUGAUUAAGAAGCCCCGGCUAACUACGUG